GCAGGAGAUUGUGCAGUUGGUUAGAGUGUGGUGCCGACAACACCAAGGUUGCAGGUUCGAUCCCUGCAUGGGACAGCUGCA
Molecule: non-coding RNA, 81 nt
Organism: Podarcis lilfordi (Lilford's wall lizard)
Lineage: Eukaryota; Metazoa; Chordata; Lepidosauria; Squamata; Lacertidae
Source: the annotation of a GenBank genome assembly